ACUCCUACGGGAGGCAGCAGUAACGAAUCUUCCGCAAUGGACGAAAGUCUGACGGAGCAAUGCCGCGUGUGGGAUGAAGCGUCUAUGACGUGUAAACCACUGUCAGGGAAUAGAAACAAUGAUCGUUCCCAAAGGAAGUGGCGACUAACUCUGUGCCAGCAGUCGCGGUAAUACAGAGGCCACAAGCGUUAGUCGGAAUCACUGGGCUUAAAGGGUGCGUAGGCGGCCUGCCAAGUGUCUUGUGAAAUACCUUAGCUCAACUAAGGAACAGCAGGGCAUACUGGUAGGCUCGAGGCAGGUAAGGGUCGCUGGAACAGUAGGUGGAGCGGUGAAAUGCGUAGAUAUCUACUGGAACGCCGAUGGUGAAGACGAGCGACUAGGCCUGACCUGACGCUGAGGCACGAAAGCGUGGGGAGCAAACAGGAUUAGAUACCCUGGUAGUCCACGCCGUAAACGAUGUACACUAGACUGGUGCGGUUUUGACGCCGUAUCAGUCGUAGUAAAAACGAUAAGUGUACCGCCUGGGGAGUACGGUCGCAAGGCUAAAACUCAAAUGAAUUGACGGGGGCUCACACAAGCGGUGGAGCAUGUUGCUUAAUUCGAGGCAACGCGAAGAACCUUACCUGGGUUUGACAUGUAUGUAUUAACUCUGUGAAAGCAGAGCCACAGUCGCAAGACCGGAACAUGCAC
This 690-nucleotide ribosomal RNA is filed under the name uncultured bacterium. RNAcentral describes it as "bacterial SSU rRNA". It matches the Rfam family "Bacterial small subunit ribosomal RNA", at positions 335 to 1035 of the family's 1533-position model. The record is from RNAcentral.